UACGUAUGGAGCAAGCGUUAUCCAGAUUUACUGGGUGUAAAGGGAGCGUAGGCGGCAUACCAAGCCUGAUGUGAAAACCCGGGGCCCAACCCCGGGAGUGCAUUGGGAACUGGCAAGCUAGAGUGUCGGAGAGGCAGGCGGAAUUCCUAGUGUAGCGGUGAAAUGCGUAGAUAUUAGGAGGAACACCAGUGGCGAAGGCGGCCUGCUGGACGAUGACUGACGCUGAGGCUCGAAAGCGUGGGGAGCAAACGGG
RNAcentral lists this ribosomal RNA (253 nucleotides) under uncultured bacterium. RNAcentral describes it as "partial 16S ribosomal RNA". It matches the Rfam family "Bacterial small subunit ribosomal RNA", at positions 524 to 776 of the family's 1533-position model. The record is from RNAcentral.